Long non-coding RNA from Macrosteles quadrilineatus (aster leafhopper), 273 nucleotides. RefSeq lists it as uncharacterized. The transcript has 3 exons. The record is from RefSeq and is a predicted model, not a curated record. NCBI's taxonomy places the organism in Eukaryota, Metazoa, Arthropoda, Insecta, Hemiptera, Cicadellidae.
CGCUAGCCUAUCGGUUCGGUGUUGUAAAGUGUUGUUCGUUUCUAUUGCGUGUAUUAGACAUGGUUUAACAUCUGGACCGCUUGUAGUGUUAUGGACUAUUGGAUUGCUAUUUACAAUAAUAUAAGCCCAGGGAUGUAGACAGCAAACUACCAUCGUGGGGGCUGCUCCUUCGCAUGAGAAGAUGGCCCAGGUGGAGACCCCCGGAGUACAGCGCGGGGUGGCGGGUGUUGGAAGGAUACGCAGGAAAGGCACCCCCAUCCCCGUCCUGCCUCC